UCUCGAGGGGCUCAGUUGGCAGAGUGCUUGCCUCGCAAGGUCCUGGGUUCAAUCCCCAGCACCAAAA
Molecule: transfer RNA, 67 nt
Filed under: Marmota monax (woodchuck)
Lineage: Eukaryota; Metazoa; Chordata; Mammalia; Rodentia; Sciuridae
Description: tRNA.Undet
Source: RNAcentral